RNAcentral lists this ribosomal RNA (377 nucleotides) under uncultured fungus. RNAcentral's name for it is "bacterial SSU rRNA". It matches the Rfam family "Eukaryotic small subunit ribosomal RNA", at positions 20 to 370 of the family's 1831-position model. The record is from RNAcentral. Lineage: Eukaryota; Fungi.
GUAGUCAUAUGCUUGUCUCAAAGACUAAGCCAUGCAUGUCUAAGUAUAAACACCUUUAUACUGCGAAACUGCGAACGGCUCAUUAUAUCAGUUAUAAUCUACUUGAUCGUAUCCUCUUACUUGGAUGACCGUAGUAAUUCUAGAGCUAAUACAUGCAAAAGUUCCCGACUGGUGACGGAAGGGAAGUAUUUAUUAGGUCCAAAAUCAAUGCUGGCCAUUCCAAACUGGGGCAACCUGGGGUCAGGAAAAGUUGAUGAUUCAUAAUAACUAAACGAAGCGCAGGGCUCGUCUCGGCGCUGAUACAAACGAGUUUCUGCCCUAUCAACUUUCGAUGGUAGUAUAGGGGACUACCAUGGUCGCAACGGGUAACGGGGAAU